AGUGAACGCUGGCGGUAGGCCUAACACAUGCAAGUCGAACGGCAGCACAGUAAGAGCUUGCUCUUAUGGGUGGCGAGUGGCGGACGGGUGAGGAAUACAUCGGAAUCUACCUUUUCGUGGGGGAUAACGUAGGGAAACUUACGCUAAUACCGCAUACGACCUUCGGGUGAAAGCAGGGGACCUUCGGGCCGUUGCGCGGG
This 200-nucleotide ribosomal RNA is filed under the name uncultured bacterium. RNAcentral's name for it is "partial 16S ribosomal RNA". It matches the Rfam family "Bacterial small subunit ribosomal RNA", at positions 29 to 221 of the family's 1533-position model. The record is from RNAcentral.